NNNNNNNNNNNNNNNNNNNNNNNNNNNNNNNNNNNNNNNNNNNNNNNNNNNNNNNNNUACCACCCUGGCGAGGUGCUGCGGCCGCCCUCGCUGCUCUCCCUGCAGCCAUCCUACUACUACCCCUACUACUGCCUUCCCGGGUGGGCUCUGUCCACCUGCGCCGCAGCUGCCGGCACGCAGUGAGAGGCACACACACACAAUCCCCGGCCCCGACACCCCCAGCAUACACACUGGCAGCCAGGAAACCCAUCUUCCCUCUGCCACCCCCCCACCCAUCAAUCCGUCCGCUCCGCUUCUCAAGUCCAGAGCCCCAGCUGCAGCUCUCAGUGCCUCGGACAGUAUUUAUUAUUAUUUUAUUGUUAUUUUUAUUAUUAAUAUUUUUGGAUGGUUUCUCACCCUCUCCUCUUUCAACGUAGGACUUCUUGGCCACCCCCACCCUGACCCUCACCCUGUCCCCAUCCCGCCAGCCGAGGACUCUCGCGAUUCGGCACAACUUGUUCAUGGUAUCCAUGUUGUCAGUGUAUUCGGUGUAGACUUUUUGUUUGUUUGUUUUAUUUUGCUUCGGAUGGGUAGAGACUCGAUCUUGUGUGGAGAAAAAGAGAAAGAAAACAAAGGAGAGGAAAAAAAAAUACAACCCGCAAAACCAAUUGCAACUCAAAAGAGGAGAUCAAGGACUCCCUCAGUGGAUUGUAAGGAAGAUUAUUUUUGUCGUCUGAGUCCUUGGUCUUCCAACUUGUUGCAAACUGAGUGUGCCUUGUAUGGUGCUGAAUGUAUGGAAGCCUCUUUCAGGUCCCCCUGCUCUUGUUGCCCAUGUUAUUCCUGUACUCCAUGAUCCCUGGCAAAGGAUAAAUAUGUCACAAAAGGGUGAGACUUAUAUCGAAACUCUGACUUCUUGUUUUCCUUUUUUUCCUGAGAUCUUUCCGUGUUCGGGGAGGGAGGAGUUACGGAUUUUUCGCACUUUCCAGAUGUAUUAAAGUUGUUAUUUUUAUAUUCAAUGUGAAUAUUUCUAGUCAGGCUUUUUAAGAAAUCGAUGUAACAGGAAACUUUAAUACCGUCAGUGCCUUUUACAAUUCUUCUGCAGAGCUCUCCUCCAGGGGUGGGGGUUUCUGAUCUGCUCAGCAAUGUAAUUACAGUCUCUUUCUUCCAAGAUAACUCGUUGCUUUUUUUUUUCUUCUUUUUUUUCCCCCUCUAUUUCCCUUUUAAUGGCACUGUGC
RNAcentral lists this long non-coding RNA (1214 nucleotides) under Zonotrichia albicollis (white-throated sparrow). Its description in RNAcentral is "lncRNA (ENSZALG00000007213.1)". The record is from RNAcentral. Lineage: Eukaryota; Metazoa; Chordata; Aves; Passeriformes; Passerellidae.